GACUUAAGCAUAUCAAUAAGCGGAGGAAAAGAAACCAACAGGGAUUGCUUCAGUAACGGCGAGUGAAGCGGCAACAGCUCAAAUUUGAAAUCUGGCCCACGUGGCCCGAGUUGUAAUUUGUAGAGGAUGCUUCGGGCGUGGUCCGGCCUAAGUCCCUUGGCACAGGGCGUCAUAGAGGGUGAGAACCCCGUAUGUGGCCGGGUGCCUAGGCCCGUGUGAAGCUCCGUCGACGAGUCGAGUUGUUUGGGAUUGCAGCUCAAAAUGGGUGGUAAAUUUCAUCUAAAGCUAAAUACCGGCCAGAGACCGAUAGCGCACAAGUAGAGUGAUCGAAAGAUGAAAAGCACUUUGGAAAGAGAGUUAAACAGUACGUGAAAUUGUUGAAAGGGAAGCGCUUGCGACCAGACUUGGGCGCGGCUGAUCAUCCGGCGUUCUCGCCGGUGCACUCGGCCGCGUGCCAGGCCAGCAUCGGUUCCGGCGGCCAGACAAAGGCCGGGCGAACGUGGCUCCCCCAGGGAGUGUUAUAGCGCCCGGCGCCAUGUGGCCUGCUGGGAACGAAGACCGCGCCUCUGGCUAAGAUGCUGGCGUAAU
Molecule: ribosomal RNA, 588 nt
Filed under: Leotia viscosa
Lineage: Eukaryota; Fungi; Ascomycota; Leotiomycetes; Leotiales; Leotiaceae
Description: LSU rRNA
Rfam family: Eukaryotic large subunit ribosomal RNA
Source: RNAcentral